UAACCAGCGAUAUAUGCAUAUAAAUUUUCCGCCAAGUUUCCUUGGCAAUUCGACUCGUUAUUUAUUUGAAAAGUUAUGUUUUCAUAAUACGUUAACGUCGCGGUUAAACGUAUUUUCGGACGGUAUAAAAGUUUAAUACUGCAGCUUACCGUGACUAACAUUUAGUUUCUCAGCGUAAAAAUCGCGUUCGUCCGGUCCGUACACCGGUACACCUAUUUUAAACUUUAUUAAAAUCGCUUUCCGGACACGUUUACGAGCGCGAUACAGAGACGUAUUUAUAAAAUACCUAGGUCGUAGGUCGUAGGUUAGGUUUAGGGGAUUAGGAUUAUAAAAACAAUAUUAUACACUGCAGACGGGUUUAUCGUGCGCGCAUUGCGGUCAAUAACGUUUACACUGCUCGAGUGUUGUUCCCUGCGAAAAAUUUAUUAUAUUACCGCAGUUUCUACCGUAAUUGUAUUGUUAUACUAUUAUUUUUACGCGUGUUGGGUCGGAUUAGUUUUAUUUUACGUGCCGGAAUUACGGUUUUGCCGGACAUUCGGGUUGUCACAGCGGUGUUUUGUCUUUUUUUUUUUUUUAACGAGCAAUAUACAGCAGAAAAUCACGUAACCAAGCGAAAAGAUCUUUAAAAUCGGUUUUAACGCUAAAACGCCCGUUAUAAAAAUCCGCAUAGACGACGAAACAUUUUGAAGAAAAUCUCUUUAACGUUUUUACAUUAUUCUCUAAAUACUCAAAGGCACUUAAAAUCGUUUUUGACGUUGGUUUUUUUUUUUUAUUGAAGAACUAACUUUUUUUAAUAAUUCGUUUUUUAAGAACGAUUUAAAGAGAUAUCUCGUGUCUAAAACCUAGUCGGUUCCAGCGUACUUAUAGGAGUAGACCCUGAAAAAUCGCAUAAAAUACAGUUUUUACCGCGUGGCGACUCAAAAUAUAAUAUAUCGAAUCAAUUCGUAAUAAAAUGCACAGUUUGGUUGAAAAAUAAAAUUGUUCAUCAUUUUCGAAUCAUUUGGAGUUUGAUAACGUUUUUGUAUAAUCGGUAUUUACACUGUCAAAAUUUUCGCAUUUUUUUCCUCGCUCCUUUCCCGCCGGACCUUAUACUCGUAUAUAGAAGUAUAUUCGCCAAAAAUUUGCUAGUAAGUUGGUCGAAAAUGAAUUUUUCGAUCGAGAAUUUCGCAAAUAUAUCGUUAUAAUAUUAUAUAGUGCGCACUAUGUGCGAACAAGCGAAAAACUCGUUAAAAAAAAAAAAAAAUUGAGGCGGCCAAAAGGGCUUAGGGUCUUUUAGUUUGUGUUUUUGUGGACACGUUUUUGCUACACAUUGUCCGCGAGAAAAACAGAGUCGGCAUGCGAUUAUAAUAUGACGUUGUGUGACGCGAAUGCUGGACUACGGAUUAUUGAGACGUCACGUAUACGUAGGCCCUUGUGAAUAAUUCACUCGUAAUUAAAUGCAAAUCAUUUUCAUCAUACACAAGUGCAUGUUAUGUACGCUUAACGUCACUAUAACUAAACGCAUUAUUAUAAUGCUGUUCGUUUUCUAAUUUAAAACUGAAAUAUUGUUUUCGACGCGCUGAUGUAAUUCCGUAUUAUUACACUCUUGUUUAUGUGUCCGAUAACACAUUUUUUCAUAUUUUUUCUGAUCGCACCGAUAACAGACCGCGUAAACCAUGAUACGAACAUAUUUUAUUGUAUAAUAUUUUACAAACCUGAAUAAGUAUUUUAAUAUUGAACGGUUUUUUUUAAAUUUUUUUAAUAUCUAACAUAAACUCAUAAUUCGUUUAAAGUUACUCCGGAAUUAAAAAAAAAUACCCGAGUGAUGAAAUAUUAUAGAUAUGUUUAAUUCAAUAUACAGGUGCUUACUAGCCGUAAACGUUUCCAAUCGGUUUCUCGGCUAAUAUAAAUCGAUUAUAAUACAUCAUAUAGGUUAUUAUGUAGGGUAUCGCAAGACUAACUGCGCUAAUGUGCAGUUCUACACAAAAUUCGAAUGUCGAAAGGAAUUAUACUGUGCAGAUCUUAAGAAAAAAAAGAAAGAAAAACAAUUUACGAAUUAUCGGUAUAUUAUCUUCGGUGUCGAUAUAGUCGCAGAGAAAUCAGGCUAAAAAGCAUUUAAAAGUACCUAUUCCUAAUAACGCUAUCGCCGUACCACGUUUUCUUGAAACUCCAUAUAAAAAUAACCGAUUUAAAAACGGCGUACAUGUCCGGAGCCAUUUGAAAUUUUUUCAAAAUUAAAUUUUGUUCGACAAUAUAACAAAACUUCGUUCAUAAAUCUCUCACUGAGUCUGUUUUCCAGCUAUACACAGCUGAAAACUGACGAUGUGCACAUCUAGCAUUUUCUUAGCGCAGACUCGGCGCGCCGGUCCGCAUGGUACCGUCCGUAAUAUCAAAUGCAAGACGCGCGCGAAAUUAAAAUUUAAGAUUAGGUUACGCGAGAGCGUCGGAGUUAGACAUUUUCUUCCGUUGAAAUGAAAAACACGUCCUGUGCUACUGCCGCAGUCAUGUUGUUGUGCGUAUUUUUGUUUUGAACCGGUUUUAAUUUAUUCCGCUCGGCUAUCAAGGUAGUUCACUUUUUGUUUUAAUAUCAAUUGAUAAUAAUAACAGGUACAUAGGUGUGUGUUUCAAAAUACCCCGAAACUCGCGCAGCAUUUAGGGCAUGUUAAAAUGUUGAAUUCGUGUAGCCCGUAGGUGUACUCCACUAUACCAAUUUGGAUAGAUACAGGCAAUAGGCAUUUAUCAAGUAAACGAUUUUCGGACUUUAAGCCUAUUACUAGGGUUCGGAUGCUCGUGCACUUAAAAUAUGUAACUGUAAUAUUAAUAUAUAUGCAUUAUGCACUAAAAAAUUAUCCAAUAUGUUAUAUAUAAUAUACAAUUACCGAAAAUCAUAAAACAUGCAUUUUCAGUUUAAAAAAUAAAACGUCGAAACAUGUACAGAAAAAUAUAUUCUACCUCGAGUAUUUAAUUUUUAUUAGUAUUUUUUCAAUAUUUCAUAUUUAUUUACAACCGAAGCGUUACAAUGUGAUACAAUGGUUUUUAUAAUUUGUUCAAGUUUCGUGCUUUUUUACCUUUAAAGGCCGUUAUUGAUUGAAAUCGUUUUCAAAAACGUUCGGAAAUACGCAUUUAUAUUUAUGAAACCCCAAAGUGUGCAUUUAAAAUACACAACCGCGAUACGUGCAAAUUAAAAUUAGUAUGAUUUGAUUCGGUAGAACGUGAAUUCUGAUCGAGAAAGAAUUAAGAAAAAAAAAAAAAAAAAAACGAAAAACGAACGCUAUAUUAAACUACUGUACCACUGUGCAUUGCAUAAUAACCGUUUUGUUGGUUGGGUCAUGAAUGAGGUUAAUUGUGGAUGCUGGAUAGGCACGGCCAACGCGCGCUGCUGUUUUUAAAGACCGCUCGCGGUAUACCUGUAAUACUGCAUUUAUAUACUACCUAUAUAUUGUACGUGUACAUUAUUAUCAUUGUCAAUAUUAUUGCGACGUGACUUGUGUGCGUGCGCUUGUUUGUACCUAACUAUACGUACAGAAGUACCUGAAACCAGAGAGAGGUAACUCGGGCAACCGGUUUUUAUCGGCAAAUAGAAAAUAUAAAUUUCUAAAAAAAAAAAAAAAAAAAAAAAACAAAAACCAUUAUUUUACCAACGACCGUUCUAUCUUAUCGGUCUUAAAUAAUAUUUUUGCGCGGAUAAAACACGAAUGAAAACUGACACCGCGCGUGAUUUGCUAUCUAUACCGGGUCGCUAUAUAAUACAAUAUUAAUUCGUUAUAACUGCGAUUCCAAAACGAAUAUUGUUCCGUUACGAUCAUAACAAUAUUGCUAGGCGUAAUAUUUUAUACCUGUUCGUUUAUUUUCCGGUGGAAAAGCCUUUAGAUUUCGGGUGUACGAUAAAGAAAUAUCUCUUGGCAUUUUACGGUCGGAGCAAGAUUUUCGUUGUAGAAGUGUUGUAAACGGACAAAACAAAAACUUAGUAAUUUAGAAUCUAAAAAUAGUUUUUACAUUACACAACUUAUCGUUCCGAUUGAUUAGAUAGAAAUUCUGGAAGGUAGGACAGUAUCACUAUAAUAUUGAAAAAAUAACCCCGAACAGUUCACGUAUACCAUAAUUUUGUAUUACAUAAUAAUAUAAUAAUAUAAUGUUAAUUUGGGAUAGUAAUUUUGUAUAAAAUCCGAAGUGUAUUUUCUCGGUUACUUCCGUAGCCUGGUCAUUUACGUCAAAUUUGGUUUUUGUCCAUUUAUAUAUUUUUAUAUUCCGAGUCCAGCGAGGGAGUUAAUGGUUUUACUGAGAUGAUUUUUUCUUCUUCUUUUAGCCCGUGGACACGUUUUUUCCUAUUAAACUUGCUCCAAUUUGUACGUGUAUCAACUUUUCUGAAAUCUCAAGUUUCCGUUAAUGUACUACAGAGAUUAUUUUUUAAUUUUUUAAACAAAAGCACUUAAGUGAGAAAACGUACAAUUUCACGAUUUCAGUAUUUUAUAAAAACACGGACGACGUUUUCUAUCAGAAAAAAAUGAUUUAAUUGAAAACCUUUAAUUGAUUGACAUCAAUUUUGUUACCUUUUUGAUUUAAUUUCUAACGGUAUCAUUACCAAUACUUUUAAGCAUUUUUUGAGUAUUAAAGGAGUUUUAACUUUUUGUAGUUUUUUUACUGUAAUUCGGUUAUAAAUACACGUAGAGACUUGAAACUUGGUAAUAAUACUGAAAUCGGACUUGCCCAGACGUGGUAAAAUUUUCAAAAUCAUCGGAAGACAUUUUUUUUUAAUAAACGUUUUGAAAUCAAACUUAAUCGAAAAUCGCAAAUAAAAUUACGGCACUUCAAAUUAUGUAUUACCAAACUGCGCUGGGAAUCGUCUUUCGUCAAGCAAUGGUUUAUCGUUUUAUUAAUUUGGUCGUCCUUUCGACUUAAUUCGUUAUUUUUAUGAAUGGGUUGAUAAAUUUUCAAAUUCGUUUUUUUUUUGAUAUGAAUAAGUCAUAAGUAAGCGCAUUGUCCGAAAAGUUAUGAUAUGUUAAUUCGCCUCAUUUAAAACAUUAUCGAUUAAUUAAUAUAUUCAAAUAUUAUAAUCGUCUUUAAUACUCAUGCAGUAGUAUUGCCGAAAAUAUCGGAUGAGUAAGGUGGGCAAAUGCCACAGACCCACAAUAAUUGAAUUUAAUUUUCAAUUUAAAAUUUAAAACAAUAAUUGAAGGCCCUAACAGUGACCUAAACCAGGAAAUUUUUUGACAGGUUAGCGUAUGUGCAUGUGUAUCACUGAUUUGAUAACUAUGUGUAAUGCAAUUUGGUUUUCAAUGUUUUAAUUGUUUAAUAAGUUUGUUGUUCUGGUUUAAUCGAUACUAUUUUUAAAUAUUUCCACACGAUGUUUUAACACGAUUUCACAAUUUAUUCGAGGUUAUUCGCAUAAAAAAAAAAGAAAAAAAAAAGAAAUACAAAUAACAAUUACAAAAUAAAACGACUGUCCUAUACUUACCUUUCGUGUGUAAUUUGCCGUCAAUCAAUAGGUGCUGAGGAUGAAAUAACCAUUAGAGUAUUUUUAUUUCGCCGGGUGUUUCGCGAGUCGAACAAAAUAUUACCCAUCUCUGUAACGCAGAUAGAAAUUAUAUUAUCUCGUUUCGAAAAUUGGACGCGAUUCUCACUUUAGACAAAAUAUAAUGUUUUGUAGGCGGAAGCACUAACUAGAAGACCGUAAAAGAACGUUUAUUAAUCAACUUCUCGGUAUUUUUUUUUUUUUUACGAAAUUGGUAAUCCGUCUGUUAUAUAUUAUAUAAUAAAGUCGGUAGAUGAAAUUUUUUAUCCAUGACCCCGUCUUUUCGGUUACGAGGGGAUACGUAUCGUUGUAAAACUAAUUUGCUGUAUUAAUACCGCGAACAAACAUCCGAGGAAACGUAUACUUGCUUACAAAACUUUUAUAUAAAAACAGAAAAAAAAAAAAAACAAAACAAAAAACAAAAUAAUACGAAGAUUACUCGAACGAAAAGAAAAAAAAAACCACUAAUUUCUACACGGCAAAAAUAUAAUUAAAGACGACUUUCGUAUUCCGCACGUAUAUUAUAUUUUUCGGCGCUGUUUAUUAAAUCUUCCCUCCACACUUACACCGGAGGAUCUCAUAAAACGCGAGCGUGUGUACACACGUGACUUAAAUACCAAACGGAAAACGUUUCGCGUGCACGUGCGGUGUGGGUUCGCCGCACUAUUAUUAUAUUGUAUUGGAUUUCCCACGUGUAGACGCGGGUAGUUUGUGAAAAUUGAAAGCCACGCGAAACUAAUCAAAAAAUUUAUCGUCCCGAAUUACGGACGCGGUUUCGUAUACGCGCGGUCGGUGAGUUUUCGCGAGCCGCUUUAUCGCGAGCCGCUUUAUCGCGCGCCGACAAGCCGCGAACACGUCCGCGCGAACUUACACGCUUACGCGAUAUUAAUAAAAACGCCGAUCUCCUUAUACCUGCGCGAUAAAAGUAUACGACGGCACCGCCUGCGAAUUCCCGUUCCCGCGCCGCUGACAAUCUCCGAUUCCUCGCAAUAAGAUUUAUCGUUUUGCGCCUGCCGUCGUCCGCGUGUACAUAAUACGAUGUUUUAUCAUCACCGCCGCAGCAGUAACCGGCCGCGAUCCCCGGCGUUUCGACCGACGCAAAAAUGAAAUCCGCCGCGUUCCGCUCGCCUGGUACAGUCACCAACACCCGCGGGGCAGUGGCGCAAUGACGCGGAGGGGGCGAAUCGGCGACCGAUCCAUCAGCGGUGAUGUUGCACUUAAAUGUCGUCUUAACGCCGUUUCCGUUUUAACCUCCGCGGUGAUUAAUCGUCCGGGAUAUGGGAUGAAGCGAGGUUGGGUUAUUGAGCAGUGCCGUUCGGAGCUAAAUUUUCUAUGGAGUUUUGGGUAAGGCCGGUUUCGGCGGUCCGGCCAACAUAAUUGAUUUGAUAGCCGGAGUGAAGAAGUCCGUUAGUUUACAUGCCGGUUUUAAGUUGCCGUUGUCAACUACUGUCACCGGUGACCGGUGAAAUUGAUAUACGAGAUGUGUUAUAGACGCCGACCGCCCAAACCCUUUUUUCGUUGACGCCUCAAUAGUCUGCCAACUGCAUACACGUCCGUUUGGAUUGUAAAAUUUUGAAAUAUGAUUCACGCGUUUUACAAUAAUUUAUGAACAGUUUAGCGUAAUUAGCGAUCGGUGAUUAAAUGUAAUUUAAAGAAAAGACAAUCAAACGCCAUCCAUUAUUUUUUCCCGAACAAACGGUUUUCCCAUACGUAUACGCGAUAUAAAAACAAAACGCCGUGGCUUAAGACUUUUAGCACGGAGCUAAAAAUAAUGGAGCUUUUCGUAAUUAUUCUUGUAUAUCGCCUACGGGCGCGAGGGAGUGGUGUGUGUGGAACAGCUUGAUUUUGGAAAUUGCGUUCCGGGCGGUGUUCCGAAACAGGACCCGACGGAGGAAAGACAUUGUCGAGAAUGGCCGCGGACGAGACGGAAAGGG
Cinara cedri is the source of this 7425-nucleotide non-coding RNA. NCBI's taxonomy places the organism in Eukaryota, Metazoa, Arthropoda, Insecta, Hemiptera, Aphididae. The record is from the annotation of a GenBank genome assembly.